UUCCGAGGGGGAGGGAGUCUGAGCCAGCUCGACCCCUCCCCCAGGGCCGCCCUCCCCACUGGGGGUUUAUAGUCCCGAAGAGCCGCAUAGCCACGCCCCGCCGUCCAGGAAGGCAGUAUUUCACCAUCAAGGACAAGACCCUGGGUAUUUACAGACGGCCUCUCCCCUUCAAGCCAGUCACGUUUCUUGGCUCCCGGGUAGCUGGAGACGGCACCGCGGCACCGUUUGCCGAUUCC
Long non-coding RNA from Hyaena hyaena (striped hyena), 236 nucleotides. RefSeq lists it as uncharacterized. The record is from RefSeq and is a predicted model, not a curated record. The transcript is spliced from 3 exons. Lineage: Eukaryota; Metazoa; Chordata; Mammalia; Carnivora; Hyaenidae.